UACGGGGGGGGCAAGCGUUGUUCGGAAUUACUGGGCGUAAAGGGCUCGUAGGUGGCCAACUAAGUCAUACGUGAAAUCCCUCGGCUUAACCGGGGAACUGCGUCUGAUACUGGAUGGCUUGAGGUUGGGAGAGGGAUGCGGAAUUCCAGGUGUAGCGGUGAAAUGCGUAGAUAUCUGGAGGAACACCGGUGGCGAAGGCGGCAUCCUGGGAAGACCCUGACGCUGAUGUGCGAAAGCUAGGGGAGCGAACGGG
RNAcentral lists this ribosomal RNA (253 nucleotides) under uncultured bacterium. Its description in RNAcentral is "partial 16S ribosomal RNA". It matches the Rfam family "Bacterial small subunit ribosomal RNA", at positions 524 to 776 of the family's 1533-position model. The record is from RNAcentral.